Molecule: ribosomal RNA, 380 nt
Filed under: uncultured bacterium
Lineage: Bacteria
Description: bacterial SSU rRNA
Rfam family: Bacterial small subunit ribosomal RNA
Source: RNAcentral
GCGAACGGGUGAGUAACACGUGAGCAACCUACCUUACACAGGGGGAUAGCCGUUGGAAACGACGAUUAAUACCGCAUGAGACCACAGAAUCGCAUGAUAUAGGGGUCAAAGAUUUAUCGGUGUAAGAAGGGCUCGCGUCUGAUUAGCUAGUUGGAAGGGUAAAGGCCUACCAAGGCGACGAUCAGUAGCCGGUCUGAGAGGAUGAACGGCCACAUUGGAACUGAGACACGGUCCAAACUCCUACGGGAGGCAGCAGUGGGGAAUAUUGCACAAUGGGGGGAACCCUGAUGCAGCGACGCCGCGUGAGCGAAGAAGGUUUUCGAAUCGUAAAGCUCUGUCCUAUGAGAAGAUAAUGACGGUAUCACAGGAGGAAGCCCCGG